Molecule: ribosomal RNA, 493 nt
Filed under: Gorgonocephalus eucnemis
Lineage: Eukaryota; Metazoa; Echinodermata; Ophiuroidea; Euryalida; Gorgonocephalidae
Description: partial large subunit ribosomal RNA
Rfam family: Bacterial large subunit ribosomal RNA
Source: RNAcentral
AAAAACAUCGCCUUUGGUAAAAUAUCAAAAGGUCCUGCCUGCCCGGUGAUUAUAAAAAUUAAACGGCUGCGGUACUCUGACCGUGCAAAGGUAGCAUAAUCAUUAGCCUGUUAAUUCCAGGCUGGAAUCAAUGGCAAGACGAAGAAAAAGCUGUCUCUUUCUAUUAUUUUAGAAUUUUUCUUUUUGGUGAAGAGACCAAAAUAAAUAAGUGGGACGAGAAGACCCUAUUGAGCUUUAGUUAACUAAAAGAAAAAAGUUUUUUUUAAAUAACUUUGGUUGGGGCAACUGUUUAUAAAAUUAAACAUUCAUAAAAUAAAAAUGAAUUAAAUCUUUAGUAUAAAAAACCCAGAAAUUUUUAUUCUGCACUUAAAAAAAGUUACCUUAGGGAUAACAGCGUAAUUCUUUUUGAGAGUACAUAUUGACAAAAGAGUUUGCGACCUCGAUGUUGGAUCAAGAUUUCCUGGAGGUGUAGUGGUUUCCAAGGGUUGGUUUG